GCUGAACAUGGUGGUGCAUGCUUGUAAUCCUGGCAACUUUGGAAGGCUGAGGCAGGAGGAUUGCCAAGUUCCAGGCCAGUCUUGGCAACUUAGUGAGACCCUGUCUCAA
Molecule: small RNA, 109 nt
Filed under: Marmota monax (woodchuck)
Lineage: Eukaryota; Metazoa; Chordata; Mammalia; Rodentia; Sciuridae
Source: RNAcentral